This 494-nucleotide ribosomal RNA is filed under the name uncultured bacterium. Its description in RNAcentral is "partial 16S ribosomal RNA". It matches the Rfam family "Bacterial small subunit ribosomal RNA", at positions 28 to 507 of the family's 1533-position model. The record is from RNAcentral.
GACGAACGCUGGCGGCGUGCUUAACACAUGCCAGUCGAACGGUGAAGCGCCUUCCUUUUUGGUGGGUGUGGAUGAGUGGCGAACGGGUGAGUAACACGUGAGUAACCUGCCCCCUUCUUCUGGAUAACCGCAUGAAAGUGUGGCUAAUACGGGAUAUUCUGGGUCUGUCGCAUGAUGGGUCUGGGAAAGAUAUUGUUUCGGUGGGGGAUGGGCUCGCGGCCUAUCAGCUUGUUGGUGGGGUGAUGGCCUACCAAGGCGGUGACGGGUAGCCGGCCUGAGAGGGUGGACGGUCACACUGGGACUGAGACACGGCCCAGACCCCUACGGGAGGCAGCAGUGGGGAAUAGUGCACAAUGGGCGCAAGCCUGAUGCAGCGACGCCGCGUGAGGGAUGGAGGCCUUCGGGUUGUGAACCUCUUUCGCCAGUGAAGCAGGCCUGCCUCGUUUGUGGGUGGGUUGACGGUAGCUGGAUAAGAAGCGCCGGCUAACUACGUG